GCAUAUCAAUAAGCGGAGGAAAAGAAACCAACAGGGAUUGCUCUAGUAGCGGCGAGUGAAGCAGCAAUAGCUCAAAUUUGAAAUCUGGCGUCUUCGACGUCCGAGUUGUGAUUUGUAGAGGAUGCUUCUGAGUAACCACCGACCUAAGUUCCUUGGAACAGGACGUCAUAGAGGGUGAGAAUCCCGUAUGCGGUCGGAAAGGUGCUCUAUACGUAGCUCCUUCGACGAGUCGAGUUGUUUGGGAAUGCAGCUCUAAAUGGGAGGUAAAUUUCUUCUAAAGCUAAAUAUUGGCCAGAGACCGAUAGCGCACAAGUAGAGUGAUCGAAAGAUGAAAAGCACUUUGGAAGGAGAGUUAAAAAGCACGUGAAAUUGUUAAAAGGGAAGCGCUUGCAGCCAGACUUGCCUAUAGUUGCUCAUCCGGGUUUUUACCCGGUGCACUCUUCUACGGGCAGGCCAGCAUCAGUUUGGGCGGUUGGAUAAAGGUCUCUGUCAUGUACCUCCUUUCGGGGAGAUCUUAUAGGGGAGACGACAUGCAACCAGCCUGGACUGAGGUCCGCGCAUCUGCUAGGAUGCUGGCGUAAUGGUUGUAAGCGGCCCGUCUUGAAACACGGACCA
Molecule: ribosomal RNA, 615 nt
Filed under: fungal sp. UN-23
Lineage: Eukaryota; Fungi
Description: LSU rRNA
Rfam family: Eukaryotic large subunit ribosomal RNA
Source: RNAcentral